This 261-nucleotide ribosomal RNA is filed under the name uncultured archaeon. RNAcentral's name for it is "partial 16S ribosomal RNA". It matches the Rfam family "Archaeal small subunit ribosomal RNA", at positions 748 to 1008 of the family's 1478-position model. The record is from RNAcentral.
AGGGUGUAAACGCUGCAGACUUGGUGUUGGAAGCCCUUUGGGGGCAUUCAGUGCCGGAGAGAAGUUGUUAAGUCCGCUACUUGGGGAGUACGUCCGCAAGGAUGAAACUUAAAGGAAUUGGCGGGGGGAGGCACCGCAACGGGAGGAGCGUGCGGUUUAAUUGGAUUCAACACCGUAAACUCACCAGGGAGACUGUUACAUGAAGGCCGAGAUGAAGACUCUGCCAGAUUUUCAGAGAGGUGGUGCAUGGCGUCAGUGACU